GACGAACGCUGGCGGCGUGCUUAACACAUGCAAGUCGAACGGAAAGGCCCUGCUCUUGUGGGGUGCUCGAGUGGCGAACGGGUGAGUAACACGUGAGUAACCUGCCCUUGACUUUGGGAUAACUUCAGGAAACUGGGGCUAAUACCGGAUAGGAGCUCCUGCUGCACGGUGGGGGUUGGAAAGUUUCGGCGGUUGGGGAUGGACUCGCGGCCUAUCAGCUUGUUGGUGGGGUAGUGGCUUACCAAGGCUUUGACGGGUAGCCGGCCUGAGAGGGUGACCGGCCACAUUGGGACUGAGAUACGGCCCAGACUCCUACGGGAGGCAGCAGUGGGGAAUAUUGCACAGUGGGCGGAAGCCUGAUGCAGCAACGCCGCGUGCGGGAUGACGGCCUUCGGGUUGUAAACCGCUUUCGCCUGUGACGAAGCGUGAGUGACGGUAAUGGGUAAAGAAGCACCGGCUAACUACGUG
RNAcentral lists this ribosomal RNA (468 nucleotides) under uncultured bacterium. Its description in RNAcentral is "partial 16S ribosomal RNA". It matches the Rfam family "Bacterial small subunit ribosomal RNA", at positions 28 to 507 of the family's 1533-position model. The record is from RNAcentral.